Molecule: long non-coding RNA, 1473 nt
Organism: Mus musculus (house mouse)
Lineage: Eukaryota; Metazoa; Chordata; Mammalia; Rodentia; Muridae
Product: predicted gene, 52210
Exons: 2
Source: RefSeq, a predicted model, not a curated record
GAAAGACAGAUCCUGGAAGCCUGUGAAACAGUUAAAGAGGAUGCCUGAGGUCAACGUCUGGCCUCUACAAGUUCAUGAACAGUUUUGGAAACAGGGUUUAUCCUGCCUCUGCCACAAGCUGGGACUAAAGGCGAGCACCAGCAGCACCCAGCUGCAGUUGUUUUAAAUGUGAAUCCUCAUCACCUUCACCUUGAAUGUGGCUUAAACUUCCAGCGGUAGACAUCUUGAUUCCCACCCCCACCCCCCACUCCACCCCCAUCCAUAUCUGGUUCUAUCUAUUCACUUGCCGGUACGUGAUUUUUCCAAUUCAAAUUUUAUAAUAAUUUUGCUUCUUUUUAUUUUCCUGUUUUCCUGUUAUUUCUCCAUUAAUUUUUCCAUGUAGAUAAUACACCUCUCUUUCUCUCCCCCGCCCCCCACCCUUUUCUCUGCCCUCGUGCCAUCUGUCUGCAUGUCUACAUACCCACUUGCCUGCCUCUUCUGCUUUCCCAGGCUCUCACUCCACUCUCUUCCCUGAAUAUCUUUCACACCAGGUCUGUGUGGUGGAAUUUCUCAGGGGCACCCUUUUACAUGGGUCUGCCAAAGGCACCCUCCUCACCAAUUAGAUUUCCUAACAUACCCAGUAAGAGAAAAGAAAGGAAAAGGAGAGGAAAGGAAAAAGAAAAGCAGGAAGGAAAAGGAGGAGCAAGGAGAGGAAGAUUUAAGAAACAAAUAUUCCUAGGGGUAGCUGGUCCCACCCCUCGCUGGCUGCAGCAUUGGGGAGGACAGACAGGAGCUCACGGGGGUAACGUGGUAGAGCUGGCCCUGGUGGUGUGGGCACAGGAGAGCUGGCCCCAAUGGCAUGAACUCAGGAGAGCCAAGCCUGACCCUUGACUGCUACUGUAGGCAGGAGAGCUGUCCCUACCUUUCAUCUGGGCAAAGCAGGGAAGCUGGCUAUGGUGGUACAAUACAGGUUGCAGGAAAGAGGGUGGGCUGACCAACUCGGCUGCCAUCCAGGCUGAUCCAGGGCUUUGAGCUGACCAACUCCAACAUCUACCCCAUUGAUGAACUGCUGGAGCUCGGGAGCUUCGGAAGGGGCUGGCUGUCCAGACCCAAAGCCGCAGGAUCUCCAUGACACGGGGCCAGAAGAGGAGAGCUGAGAGGAAUCCCAGUGAGGAUCCAGCAGUGACAGUGCAGCAGGCAGCCAGAGGCCUCGAACCAGACCAAUGACUCACUAAAAUGAACAUACGCAAGUAAAGCUAUUUGGGCAAAAGGGUGUCCUGUGGGACACACUGUGACACACUACAGCUUCCAUGACCAGAUGGUUUUGCUAUUCUUGUUGUGCUUUUCUUUUCUUUGGAUGGGAGUGUGUGUUGCAAGGGCCGAGGUCAGAUAUGGAGGGUCAGGGAGAUGAAUAGGAUUUCCGGGGCACUAUGUGAAAUUGACAAAGCACCAAUAAAAAGUUUUUAAAAAUAAAAAUAUUUAUUGCUAAAGUGA